This 258-nucleotide ribosomal RNA is filed under the name uncultured prokaryote. RNAcentral's name for it is "partial 16S ribosomal RNA". It matches the Rfam family "Bacterial small subunit ribosomal RNA", at positions 524 to 782 of the family's 1533-position model. The record is from RNAcentral.
UACGUAGGGGACGAGCGUUGUCCGGAAUUACUGGGCGUAAAGGGCGCGCAGGCUGUAGAUCAAGUCAGCUGUGAAAUGUCUGGGCUUAACCCGGGCAUGCGGUUGAAACUGAUGUACUGGAGUGCUGUAGAGGCAAGUGGAAUUCCCAGUGUAGCGGUGAAAUGCGUAGAUAUUGGGGAGAACACCGGUGGCGAAGGCGACUUGCUGGGCAGCAACUGACGCUGAGGCGCGAAAGCCAGGGGAGCAAACGGGAUUAGA